CGUAGGGCGCAAGCGUUGUCCGGAAUUAUUGGGCGUAAAGAGCUCGUAGGCGGCUUGUCACGUCGGGUGUGAAAGCCCGGGGCUUAACCCCGGGUCUGCAUUCGAUACGGGCUAGCUAGAGUGUGGUAGGGGAGAUCGGAAUUCCUGGUGUAGCGGUGAAAUGCGCAGAUAUCAGGAGGAACACCGGUGGCGAAGGCGGAUCUCUGGGCCAUUACUGACGCUGAGGAGCGAAAGCGUGGGGAGCGAACAGGAUUAGAUACCCUGGUAGUCCACGCCGUAAACGGUGGAACUAGGUGUUGGCGACGUUCCACGUCGUCGGUGCCGCAGCUAACGCAUUAAGUUCCCGCCUGGGGAGUACGGCCGCAAGGCUA
Molecule: ribosomal RNA, 371 nt
Filed under: uncultured organism
Description: bacterial SSU rRNA
Rfam family: Bacterial small subunit ribosomal RNA
Source: RNAcentral